Molecule: long non-coding RNA, 1471 nt
Organism: Acanthaster planci (crown-of-thorns starfish)
Lineage: Eukaryota; Metazoa; Echinodermata; Asteroidea; Valvatida; Acanthasteridae
Source: RefSeq, a predicted model, not a curated record
CAAUCAGCGCAACGCUAGGCUUCGCGCUCGCAGGCAGCGUGUGGCAGUGGCUAGCAGAACAGAAAAGAGGCAAGACGUCCCACGAUAUCGUGUUAUUUACUGGUCAUUAGAGCAAGAAGAAAUCGGAGAAAUCAAGAAGAAUGCCAAGGAUGCGCCAAAGUAGAAGCUGUUCACCGACGGAGCGAAGAAGCCCAACCAGGCACAACCAGUGUGCUGAAUGCAAGAGGGGAUUCUCAACCCAAACCAAUCUGAGACGCCACAUUGACGAACAGCAUCGUCGCCGUGAAAGAAUCAAAUGUCCCUACUGCCCCCAGUCCUUUGUCCGACAGCGCGACCUGGACCGACACUGGCAGUCUGCACACCAAGAAAACCAGGGCUCGAUAAGCCAGUCAGUAGAUGCCAGAGACACAGAGCCUGAAGUCCCCAGAACCCCAGGACGAAACCAUGAAGAUGACGUGGUGAGUCUGACGCCUGGGAGUGUGGAACGGAGUCUUGUAAAAGACUUACACUCUCCUCCCCCGACAGAGAGCGAGGCAGCCGUGAUGCCUCCAAUAGCCCCUUCCACUCCCUCAUAGGCCUAACGAAGGACGUGGGCACCCAGAGCGACCCGAUAAAGGGCUCCCGUGUGGUGGAAAGCACCAUAAAAGAGGUCCUGGAGAGCGACGGGAAGAUUUCACUUCGGCUUAUCCAGGAGCGUUUCCUGAUGGAUCCAUAAAUGUAGGGCCUAGACUACGAGAUUUGCGCAUAACAUUUUGUUGGCUCACUUUUUAAUUAAAGUCAAAGAGAAGUUAGUUAAGUUUACCUUAACUGUUAAAGUUGUCAGAGAUGUUUCGUUUUUUGUUUUUCUUAAGAGAACUCUUGAGUUUUGAAAUCUUAAACCGUUGUUAAACAUGGUUAGAUGUUGAAAAGUGUUUUGACGAAUAAUUAUAAUUGAUGUUAAAUGAUGUUGCUUGAGCUAAUGUGAUAUCUGUUUAUGCUGAGCACGAGUCCCUUAUUGUUCUUACGGAUUGUAUUUGAAACUUGCUGAUGUGGGGACACAUCUCCCCUUAAAGGAGGGGGUAGAGAAGCGAGCGAGGCGAAGCGCAUGCAGGGCGCGUGAUCAGUGCGUGAUCGCCGCCUGAGAGGAUGCCGGCCAAUCAGCGCACCGCUAGGCUUCGCGCUCGCAGGCAGCGUGUGGCAGUGGCUGGCAGAACAGAAAAGAGGCAAGACGUCCCACGAUAUUGUGUUAUUAACUGGUCAUUAGAGCAAGAAGAAAUCGGAGAAAUCAAGAAGAAUGUUAACUGUGACUCUCAAACCAGCCUACUUAACUGCAAAUUAUCCCAGACCAACCCCGUGCGUGAAUCUUAAAAAACCACAGGACACGGGACACAGGACACGGGUGACAGUUUCACUGGUCACGGUCUACCAGAGUUUUUCCAGUUUACAUGGGCUGCGCAGUUAGGCCUACCAUAGUUACCACAGGUCACUUCGU